RNAcentral lists this long non-coding RNA (1145 nucleotides) under Anas platyrhynchos platyrhynchos (common mallard). Its description in RNAcentral is "lncRNA (ENSAPLG00000019396.1)". Lineage: Eukaryota; Metazoa; Chordata; Aves; Anseriformes; Anatidae. The record is from RNAcentral.
GAGGCGUGGCUCGUGGCUGAGGGGGCGUGGCCUCAGCGCAGGGCGGGGUUCGGGCGCGGCUCUGCGAGGGCCGUGGCUUCGCGCUGAGGGGGCGUGGCUUCGAACCGAUGGGCGUGGCCUCGAGCCCAGGAAUGCGGCUUGGCGCCAAGGGGCGCGGGCUCGGCACGAGGGGGCGUGGCUUAGCGCGGAUGGGCGUGGCCUCGGUCCGAGCAGCGCGGGUUGGCGCCAAGGGGGCGUGGCGUUACCCGAAGGGGCGUGGCUUUCGUCAGGGGGCGUGGCCUCCAUCCGGGGGCGGGGCUUAGCUCAAAGGGGGCGGGGCUUAGCACCAAGGGGCGGGGCUUCCCGGCCCGCCGGCGCGCCCCCACGUGGCCGCGUCCCCCCCCCCCCCGCCCCCCCGCCCCCCCCUUCCCCCCCCCCCCCCGUCCCCGUCCCCCAGACACGGAGCGGAGCCGGGGGCAAGGCACAGGCCGGGUUUAUGGCACCUGGUGCGGGGUCGCCCCCGCUGCAGCCCCCCCCCCGGCUCCCGGAGAGGCGCCCGCGCUGCCCCGGGGCGGUGGCGGCCCUACAGCAGCCGGCACCGGGAGCUGCCCCGCCGCGGGGCGCUGGGCUCCGGCAGCGAGCCGGCCGUGGCGGUGGUGCUCGGGACCUGCAAGAGUAUGGGGAGGGGUUGGAGGGGGACACGGGGUCAGGGGGGGCUGGAAGGGGGUGCCCCCAGCUCAGCCCCCCACCCCCAGCCCACUCACCGCUUUUCGGGUUGAUUUCUGCAGGAUGUCCCGCGCCAGCGUGCUGAAGGCCUAUGGGGAGAGGGGGGGGUCAGUGGGGGCUGCCCCUGGCACGGGGACCCCCCCGACACCACCCCCACCAUGGGGGGCAGCGGCCCCCCCCCGUGCCUCUCACCUCCUCCACGUUCACGCUGGACUUGGCACUGGUCUCGAAGAAGCGGAUCCCGUGCUCCUUGGCCAGCUGGAGGACGAGGGGACGCCGCGUGGGAAGGGGGGACACGGCCCCACAGCCCUGCCCCACGGCCGGGGGGGCUCGUGCCCCCACCCUACCUUCUCGGCGGCGUCCCGCUGCACUUUGCGCUUGCUCUCCAUGUCGCACUUGUUGCCGAUGAGGAGCCGCUCGACACCAGCAGAUGCAUUCUU